AAAUUGAAGAGUUUGAUCAUGGCUCAGAUUGAACGCUGGCGGCAGGCCUAACACAUGCAAGUCGAACGGUAACAGGAAACAGCUUGCUGUUUCGAUGACGAGUGGCGGACGGGUGAGUAAUGUCUGGGAAACUGCCUGAUGGAGGGGGAUAACUACUGGAAACGGUAGCUAAUACCGCAUAACGUCGCAAGACCAAAGAGGGGGACCUUCGGGCCUCUUGCCAUCGGAUGUGCCCAGAUGGGAUUAGCUAGUAGGUGGGGUAACGGCUCACCUAGGCGACGAUCCCUAGCUGGUCUGAGAGGAUGACCAGC
This 311-nucleotide ribosomal RNA is filed under the name Shigella flexneri. RNAcentral's name for it is "bacterial SSU rRNA". It matches the Rfam family "Bacterial small subunit ribosomal RNA", at positions 1 to 308 of the family's 1533-position model. The record is from RNAcentral. Lineage: Bacteria; Pseudomonadati; Pseudomonadota; Gammaproteobacteria; Enterobacterales; Enterobacteriaceae.